Molecule: long non-coding RNA, 501 nt
Filed under: Triticum aestivum (bread wheat)
Lineage: Eukaryota; Viridiplantae; Streptophyta; Magnoliopsida; Poales; Poaceae
Description: long non-coding RNA (TAES_LNC028194)
Source: RNAcentral
UUGGUAUGAUGCCAGCAUGCAGUUACUGACGGACGGAUACAGGGAACUGAACUUGGUGAAAGCAACAUAGUGAGUGAUGUGUACAGCAUAUAUACUUUGACUUUGGGUGGUAAUCUCGUUCUGGUAGAUACGUACGCACGAUCUGUCGGGCUCAAGCUAUAUUGCUGGGUUAGGGUCUUGGGUUCGAGAUUCAUACGCCAUGCUCGUGCCCGAAUGCUCAAAUGUUAGGUCAGGAGAUAUAUAGUUAGAUCUCUUUGACAGUAUGAGUGUUUCCUGGAUGACUUGUAACCAUCCCAGCUCAUGCCAUAGUGCUACAGUUGGAUCUUAGGGAUCGUCUCCCUGGAUCGAGCACAUGCCAUUGUAAUGUUGAAUGAGGAGUAGGUCUGUUGGACAGUAUAAUGUCCAAAAUUUGGUAGAUAGUGCUACUGCCCUAUGCUGUAAGCCAGAUAGUUGGUUAGUUGUAUUUUGUCAGAUUGAUUGCAUUCCAAAGUUGAACCUGAU